AUGCUGCGCCGCGCUCGCCCGCCCGGCGAUGCGCUUGCCGGCCCCACGCCGCGUUCGCCGGCCCAGCACCAUACUCGCCCAUCCCGCAGCACACUCGCCGGCCCCGCGCCAUGCUGGCCGCCCUGCGACGAGCUCGCCGGCCCCGCACCGUUCUGGCCACCCUGCGACGAGCUCGCCGGCCCCGCGCCGUUCUGGCCGCCCUGCGACGAGCUCGCCGGCUCGCCGGCCGUCUCUCACAUCUCCAGCGGCACGCGCUGCCUCAUCACCUGCGCCUGUUUCCUCUGCGUCGUCUACAUGGGAGAGUACGUACCCCUCUAA
RNAcentral lists this ribosomal RNA (318 nucleotides) under Triticum aestivum (bread wheat). RNAcentral's name for it is "partial small subunit ribosomal RNA". Lineage: Eukaryota; Viridiplantae; Streptophyta; Magnoliopsida; Poales; Poaceae. The record is from RNAcentral.